CCAGACUCCUACGGGAGGCAGCAGUGGGGAAUAUUGGACAAUGGGGGGAACCCUGAUCCAGCGACGCCGCGUGAGUGAAGAAGUAUUUCGGUAUGUAAAGCUCUAUCAGCAGGGAAGAAAGAAAUGACGGUACCUGACUAAGAAGCCCCGGCUAACUACGUGCCAGCAGCCGCGGUAAUACGUAGGGGGCAAGCGUUAUCCGGAUUUACUGGGUGUAAAGGGAGCGUAGACGGCGAUGCAAGUCUGAAGUGAAAGGCGGGGGCCCAACCCCCGGACUGCUUUGGAAACUGUAUAUCUGGAGUGCAGGAGAGGUAAGUGGAAUUCCUAGUGUAGCGGUGAAAUGCGUAGAUAUUAGGAGGAACACCAGUGGCGAAGGCGGCUUACUGGACUGUAACUGACGUUGAGGCUCGAAAGCGUGGGGAGCACACAGGAUUAGAUACCCCCGUA
Molecule: ribosomal RNA, 447 nt
Filed under: uncultured bacterium
Lineage: Bacteria
Description: bacterial SSU rRNA
Rfam family: Bacterial small subunit ribosomal RNA
Source: RNAcentral